RNAcentral lists this ribosomal RNA (374 nucleotides) under uncultured organism. RNAcentral describes it as "partial 16S ribosomal RNA". It matches the Rfam family "Bacterial small subunit ribosomal RNA", at positions 527 to 896 of the family's 1533-position model. The record is from RNAcentral.
GUAGGUGGCAAGCGUUGUCCGGAAUUAUUGGGCGUAAAGCGCGCGCAGGCGGUUCUUUAAGUCUGAUGUGGGAAGCCCACGGGCUCAACCGUGGAGGGUCAUUGGAAACUGGAGAACUUGAGUACAGAAGAGGAAAGCGGAAUUCCACGUGUAGCGGUGAAAUGCGUAGAGAUGUGGAGGAACACCAGUGGCGAAGGCGGCUUUCUGGUCUGUAACUGACGCUGAGGCGCGAAAGCGUGGGGAGCAAACAGGAUUAGAUACCCUGGUAGUCCACGCCGUAAACGAUGAGUGCUAAGUGUUAGGGGGUUUCCGCCCCUUAGUGCUGCAGCUAACGCAUUAAGCACUCCGCCUGGGGAGUACGGCCGCAAAGGCUG